UUGCAUUUUAUUAAAUGGAUUGUAACAAUAAGUAUAAUUACAGCUUUUCUUCCACUAUUUUUAACUCAGUUUGAAACUUCAAAUGCGAUAUAAUUUUGGCUUGGACCAUCUAAGCUGACUGACAUCAACUUGCUAUAAUUUCUGUUUAUAUUACAUCGCAAUUCGAUGACACUCUGGCAUCGCAAUUCGAUGACACUCUCAUUCGUUUAGGAUUUUCAAACAACCUGGUCUCUUUUAAAAUACUUUUAAUUUGUUCUUACGUGGUUUUCCAGAUGUAGUGACG
RNAcentral lists this long non-coding RNA (283 nucleotides) under Paramuricea clavata. The record is from RNAcentral. Lineage: Eukaryota; Metazoa; Cnidaria; Anthozoa; Malacalcyonacea; Plexauridae.